UGAAGCGGCAACAGCUCAAAUUUGAAAUCUGGCCUCGGCCCGAGUUGUAAUUUGCAGAGGAUGUUUCUGGCGCGGUGCCUUCCGAGUUCCCUGGAACGGGACGCCACAGAGGGUGAGAGCCCCGUAUGGUUGGACACUAAGCCUGUGUGAAACUCCUUCGACGAGUCGAGUAGUUUGGGAAUGCUGCUCAAAAUGGGAGGUAAAUCUCUUCUAAAGCUAAAUACCGGCCAGAGACCGAUAGCGCACAAGUAGAGUGAUCGAAAGAUGAAAAGCACCUUGAAAAGGGGGUUAAACAGUACGUGAAAUUGUUGAAAGGGAAGCGCUUGUGACCAGACUUGCGCCGGGCGGCUCAUCCGGGGUUCUCCCCGGUGCACUCCGCCCGGCUCAGGCCAGCAUCGGUUCUCGUUGGGGGAUAAGAACGGCAGGAACGUGGCCCUCCUUCGGGUGGGUGUUAUAGCCUGCCGUACGAUACCCUGACGGGGACCGAGGUUCGCGCUCCGCAAGGAUGCUGGCGUAAUGGUCAUCAGCGACCCGUCUUGAAACACGGACCAAGGAGUCGUCCAUUAGAGCGAGCGUUUGGGUGUCAAACCCGCACGCGUAAUGAAAGUGAAAUUAGGUGAGAGCUUCGGCGCAUCAUCGACCGAUCCUGAUGUUCUCGGAUGGAUUUGAGUAAGAGUUUUAACGGACGGACCCGAAAGACAGUGAACUAUGCUUGUAUAGGGUGAAGCCAGAGGAAACUCUGGUGGAGGCUCGCAGCGGUUCUGACGUGCAAAUCGAUCGUC
Molecule: ribosomal RNA, 782 nt
Filed under: Chrysoporthe deuterocubensis
Lineage: Eukaryota; Fungi; Ascomycota; Sordariomycetes; Diaporthales; Cryphonectriaceae
Description: partial large subunit ribosomal RNA
Rfam family: Eukaryotic large subunit ribosomal RNA
Source: RNAcentral